GUCUGAUAAAUUAUUAGCAGGCAGCUAAUUGACUUUAAUUCACUUAAACAUGAGAGCAGUAGAGCAACACUUCACAUCAAAAUUAACUUAAGCUAAAGUGGAUUAACCAAAAUGAAAAGAGCAAAGAGAAUCACAUUUUAAAGUUAUGAAGCGUGUUAAAGGGUAAAUCAUGAAACAUAUGAAACACAGCUCUGACAGUGGUUUCUCACCUCUGGCGCAGUCGUGCGUGAAUAAAUCCAAAGAUAACUAAACUCACAAUGAUGAACACAGUUACACAAAUCAGUGUAAGAGGAACUGUUUCUGUUCCAGACCUGCUGCUUAGUUCUUUAUGAAGAGAAAAGCAGUUGUUAGAAACAUGGACGUAGUAUUUGCAUUACUACUGAACAAAGGUUAAGUGUGAUGUAUGACUAUUGGCCUCAAAGUUAACAAAUCCUGAAGGUCACCUUGUAAAAUCAGUACAGACUUUAUAUUGCUAAAUAUUUAUGGUUAAAGAAGAACAGUAUUGUUUACCUUGUUUACCAUCCACAGUGACAUUAAGAUGGAGAAUUUUUGUUCCAUCAAUAGUUGUACACUGACAGCUGUAGCUCCCACUGUCCUCUGAUGUUAAAUUGAUCAGGUGGAGAAACACAGUCUGAUUUUCUUUCAUCAGUGUGAACCUGGAGUCACAUUUCUGUUCAAAGCCCCGUGCAUGUUCAUACAGCAGACUACAAUAUCCUCCUCCACUUCUCUGAGUUCUGAUCGUACAAACUAUCAGUGUGAUCAUGUUCUGUGUUUCAUUGGUGCAUAUUUGAGUGACAUCUGGUUGUUUCCCAAUUGUUUUCACAACAGUUU
Oreochromis aureus is the source of this 831-nucleotide long non-coding RNA. NCBI's taxonomy places the organism in Eukaryota, Metazoa, Chordata, Actinopteri, Cichliformes, Cichlidae. The record is from Ensembl.